AGCAGCCGCGGUAAUUCCAGCUCCAAUAGCGUAUAUUAAAGUUGUUGCAGUUAAAAAGCUCGUAGUUGAAUUUCGGGAUCAAUAUAUUGGUCAUGCUUAGGUAUGUACUGGUAUUAUUGAUUUCUCCCUUCUGAAGAACCAUGAUGUCAUUAAUUUGAUGUCGUGGGGAAUCAGGACUGUUACUUUGAAAAAUUAGAGUGUUUAAAGCAGGCUUUCGCUUGAAUACAUUAGCAUGGAAUAAUGAAAUAGGACGUUUGAUUCUAUUUUGUUGGUUUCUAGGAUCGACGUAAUGAUUAAUAGGGAUAGUUGGGGGCAUUAGUAUUCAAUUGUCAGAGGUGAAAUUCUUGGAUUUAUUGAAGACCAACUACUGCGAAAGCAUUUGCCAAGGAUGUUUUCAUUAAUCAAGAACGAAAGUUAGGGGAUCGAAGACGAUCAGAUACCGUCGUAGUCUUAACCAUAAACUAUGCCGACUAGGGAUCGGAUGAUGUUAAUUUUUAAUGA
Molecule: ribosomal RNA, 501 nt
Filed under: uncultured Glomus
Lineage: Eukaryota; Fungi; Glomeromycota; Glomeromycetes; Glomerales; Glomeraceae
Description: SSU rRNA
Rfam family: Eukaryotic small subunit ribosomal RNA
Source: RNAcentral